AUUUGUUAACAAGACAAGAGACACAGAGAGAAACAAUGAUUUAACACGAAUGGAUAAAAAUGUAUUUACUUGUGAGACUAAUGCUGACUUUUACUGCAGCAGCUGCUGGGCAACAUGUAUCCGUCUCCACUGUCAGAGCUGGUGAUGAAGUCACUUUGCCUUGUAACAAUGUAACUGAUGGUCAGAAUAAUUGUGACAGAAUCAAAUGGACCUCUAUUACUUCUAUUUCAACAGUGACGUUGUUUGAAGCUGGACAGAUUCAGAUAAAUACAGCAAAUAAAUCAGAGAGGCUGAGUGUGACUGUUAAAUGUUCUCUGGUUAUAAAGAAGGUCAUGAUGGAGGAUGUUGGUCAGUACAACUGCAGACAGUUAACAUCAGAACAACAAGGACAAUCUUCCUCUGUUUAUAUCUCUGUUAUUCACAUGACUGAACAGAGGACCAAUGAUUCAGUUGUCUUAAGCUGCUCUGUGGUGGACUAUAACUAUUGCAGACACACAGUGGAGUGGCUGUAUGAUGGCAAAGCACAAAUUUCCUCACAUGUAGAAUCAAUAAUACCCAUCUGCCGUUCUACUGUCACACUGACAACUUCCCUUCAUGAACACUCAGCAUUUCUCAGGUCGAUAAAGUGUAAAGUUAAAAAUAACUCCACUAAAAAGGUUCAGCUGUUCACCUUCAGCCACCACCCACAA
Molecule: long non-coding RNA, 689 nt
Organism: Fundulus heteroclitus (mummichog)
Lineage: Eukaryota; Metazoa; Chordata; Actinopteri; Cyprinodontiformes; Fundulidae
Exons: 3
Source: RefSeq, a predicted model, not a curated record